Pelobates cultripes (western spadefoot toad) is the source of this 221-nucleotide non-coding RNA. NCBI's taxonomy places the organism in Eukaryota, Metazoa, Chordata, Amphibia, Anura, Pelobatidae. The record is from the annotation of a GenBank genome assembly.
AGUACAAUUAUUGGAUCAUUAUGUGGUUAUGUAGACACAACACACUUCAUUGAUUAUUAAUUGAUGAGAAUAAUUAGCUUACUUAAUGUAAUGUGUUAGUAUUAAUGAAUUACUAGUCUAUAGAAGGGAUCUCAUUUAUAAACUAUUCAGAUAUUCUUCCUGAUCUUGGUGAUCAACACGGAAUGAAUGAUUGGCAUUGGGGUGUAAUUUGUAAUUUUCUG